This 519-nucleotide ribosomal RNA is filed under the name uncultured bacterium. RNAcentral describes it as "bacterial SSU rRNA". It matches the Rfam family "Bacterial small subunit ribosomal RNA", at positions 9 to 526 of the family's 1533-position model. The record is from RNAcentral.
GAGUUUGAUCCUGGCUCAGGAUGAACGCUGGCGGCGUGCUUAACACAUGCAAGUCGAACGAAGCACUUUAUUUGAUUUCCUUCGGGACUGAUUAUUUUGUGACUGAGUGGCGGACGGGUGAGUAACGCGUGGGUAACCUGCCUUGUACAGGGGGAUAACAGUUGGAAACGGCUGCUAAUACCGCAUAAGCGCACGGUACUGCAUGGUACAGUGUGAAAAACUCCGGUGGUAUGAGAUGGACCCGCGUUGGAUUAGCUAGUUGGCAGGGUAACGGCCUACCAAGGCGACGAUCAGUAGCCGGUCUGAGAGGAUGAACGGCCACAUUGGAACUGAGACACGGUCCAAACUCCUACGGGAGGCAGCAGUGGGGAAUAUUGCACAAUGGGGGAAACCCUGAUGCAGCAACGCCGCGUGAGUGAAGAAGUAUCUCGGUAUGUAAAGCUCUAUCAGCAGGGAAGAAAAUGACGGUACCUGACUAAGAAGCCCCGGCUAACUACGUGCCAGCCGCCGCGGUAAUAC